GAUGAACGCUGGCGGCGUGCCUAAUACAUGCAAGUCGAGCGAACAGAUGAGGAGCUUGCUCCUCUGACGUUAGCGGCGGACGGGUGAGUAACACGUGGAUAACUUACCUAUAAGACUGGGAUAACUUCGGGAAACCGGAGCAAAUACCGGAUAAUAUAUUAAACCGCAUGGUUCAAUAGUGAAAGACGGUUUUGCUGUCACUUAUAGAUGGAUCCGCGCCGCAUUAGCUAGUUGGUAAGGUAACGGCUUACCAAGGCAACGAUGCGUAGCCGACCUGAGAGGGUGAUCGGCCACACUGGAACUGAGACACGGUCCAGACUCCUACGGGAGGCAGCAGUAGGGAAUCUUCCGCAAUGGGCGAAAGCCUGACGGAGCAACGCCGCGUGAGUGAUGAAGGUCUUCGGAUCGUAAAACUCUGUUAUUAGGGAAGAACAAAUGUGUAAGUAACUAUGCACGUCUUGACGGUACCUAAUCAGAAAGCCACGGCUAACUACGUG
Molecule: ribosomal RNA, 497 nt
Filed under: uncultured bacterium
Lineage: Bacteria
Description: partial 16S ribosomal RNA
Rfam family: Bacterial small subunit ribosomal RNA
Source: RNAcentral